This 72-nucleotide transfer RNA is filed under the name Candidatus Riflebacteria bacterium RBG_13_59_9. RNAcentral's name for it is "tRNA-Lys". It matches the Rfam family "tRNA". Rfam says of the family: Transfer RNA (tRNA) molecules are approximately 80 nucleotides in length. Their secondary structure includes four short double-helical elements and three loops (D, anti-codon, and T loops). The record is from RNAcentral. Lineage: Bacteria; Candidatus Rifleibacteriota.
GAGCCAUUAGCUCAGGGGUAGAGCAUCGGACUUUUAAUCCGAGUGUCGCAGGUUCGAUUCCUGUAUGGCUCA